GAUGAACGCUGACAGAAUGCUUAACACAUGCAAGUCGAUGGGGAAGUGGUGCUUGCACCAUGGUAACCAUGGCGGACGGGUGAGUAACGCGUAAGGAACUUGCCUGCGGGACUGGGAUAACAGCAGGAAACUGCUGAUAAUACCGGAUAAGGUCAUUAAGCUGCAUAGCUUAGUGAUGAAAGGAGACGCCUGCGGAGAGCCUUGCGUCCUAUUAGCUAGUUGGAGGGGUAACGGCCCACCAAGGCGAAGAUAGGUAGCCGGCCUGAGAGGGUGGACGGCCACAAGGGGACUGAGAUACGGCCCUUACUCCUACGGGAGGCAGCAGUGGGGAAUAUUGGACAAUGGGGGCAACCCUGAUCCAGCAAUUCUGUGUGCACGAAGACGGUUUUCGGAUUGUAAAGUGCUUUCAGCAGGGAAGAAGUAAGUGACGGUACCUGCAGAAGAAGCGACGGCUAAAUACGUGCCAGCAGCCGCGGUAAUACGUAUGUCGCGAGCGUUAUCCGGAAUUAUUGGGCAUAAAGGGCAUCUAGGCGGCCUUUCAAGUCAGGGGUGAAAACCUGCGGCUCAACCGCAGGCCUGCCUUUGAAACUGAUAGGCUGGAGUACCGGAGAGGUGGACGGAACUGCACGAGUAGAGGUGAAAUUCGUAGAUAUGUGCAGGAAUGCCGAUGAUGAAGAUAGUUCACUGGACGGUAACUGACGCUGAAGUGCGAAAGCCGGGGGAGCAAACAGG
RNAcentral lists this ribosomal RNA (732 nucleotides) under uncultured Leptotrichia sp. RNAcentral describes it as "bacterial SSU rRNA". It matches the Rfam family "Bacterial small subunit ribosomal RNA", at positions 28 to 776 of the family's 1533-position model. Lineage: Bacteria; Fusobacteriati; Fusobacteriota; Fusobacteriia; Fusobacteriales; Leptotrichiaceae. The record is from RNAcentral.